RNAcentral lists this ribosomal RNA (215 nucleotides) under uncultured fungus. Its description in RNAcentral is "partial small subunit ribosomal RNA". The stretch from base 90 to 215 matches the Rfam family "Eukaryotic small subunit ribosomal RNA", at positions 737 to 864 of the family's 1831-position model. The record is from RNAcentral. Lineage: Eukaryota; Fungi.
GGCCUGGCUGGGCGGUCUGCCUAACGGUAUGUACUGUCUGGCUGGGUCUUACCUCUUGGUGAGCUGGCAUGUCCUUAAUUGGAUGUGCCAGGGAACCAGGACUUUUACCUUGAGAAAAUUAGAGUGUUCAAAGCAGGCAUAUGCCCGAAUACAUUAGCAUGGAAUAAUAAAAUAGGACGUGCGGUUCUAUUUUGUUGGUUUCUAGAGUCGCCGUA